This 458-nucleotide ribosomal RNA is filed under the name Dasymys incomtus (African marsh rat). RNAcentral's name for it is "partial 16S ribosomal RNA". It matches the Rfam family "Bacterial large subunit ribosomal RNA", at positions 1919 to 2550 of the family's 2925-position model. The record is from RNAcentral. Lineage: Eukaryota; Metazoa; Chordata; Mammalia; Rodentia; Muridae.
UAAGUUAAACGGCCGCGGUAUCCUGACCGUGCAAAGGUAGCAUAAUCACUUGUUCCUUAAUUAGGGACUAGUAUGAAUGGCUAGACGAGGGUUCAACUGUCUCUUAUUCUCAAUCAGUGAAAUUGACCUUCCAGUGAAGAGGCUGGAAUAACAUAAUAAGACGAGAAGACCCUAUGGAGCUUAAAUUAACUAGCUUAAUUAUUAAAAUUAAUAACCUAAUGGAACAAAAUAAAAAAAAAAUAAGCUAGUAAUUUCGGUUGGGGUGACCUCGGAGAAUAAAAAAACCUCCGAAUGAUUGUAGCAUAGAUUAACAAAUCAAAGCAACUUACUAAAUCUUAUUGACCCAAAAAUUUUGAUCAACGAACCAAGUUACCCUAGGGAUAACAGCGCAAUCCUAUUUAAGAGUUCAUAUCGACAAUUAGGGUUUACGACCUCGAUGUUGGAUCAGGACAUCCCAA